Molecule: ribosomal RNA, 451 nt
Filed under: Lactiplantibacillus plantarum
Lineage: Bacteria; Bacillati; Bacillota; Bacilli; Lactobacillales; Lactobacillaceae
Description: bacterial SSU rRNA
Rfam family: Bacterial small subunit ribosomal RNA
Source: RNAcentral
UCUUGACAUACUAUGCAAAUCUAAGAGAUUAGACGUUCCCUUCGGGGACAUGGAUACAGGUGGUGCAUGGUUGUCGUCAGCUCGUGUCGUGAGAUGUUGGGUUAAGUCCCGCAACGAGCGCAACCCUUAUUAUCAGUUGCCAGCAUUAAGUUGGGCACUCUGGUGAGACUGCCGGUGACAAACCGGAGGAAGGUGGGGAUGACGUCAAAUCAUCAUGCCCCUUAUGACCUGGGCUACACACGUGCUACAAUGGAUGGUACAACGAGUUGCGAACUCGCGAGAGUAAGCUAAUCUCUUAAAGCCAUUCUCAGUUCGGAUUGUAGGCUGCAACUCGCCUACAUGAAGUCGGAAUCGCUAGUAAUCGCGGAUCAGCAUGCCGCGGUGAAUACGUUCCCGGGCCUUGUACACACCGCCCGUCACACCAUGAGAGUUUGUAACACCCAAAGUCGGU